GGAGAGAUGGCUGAGUGGUCGAAGGCGGCUGAUUGCUAAUCUGUUGUAUGGGCUUUUCCGUACCGAGGGUUCGAAUCCCUUUCUCUCCG
Molecule: transfer RNA, 89 nt
Filed under: Symbiochloris sp. SG-2018
Lineage: Eukaryota; Viridiplantae; Chlorophyta; Trebouxiophyceae; Trebouxiales; Trebouxiaceae
Description: tRNA-Ser
Rfam family: tRNA
About the family: Transfer RNA (tRNA) molecules are approximately 80 nucleotides in length. Their secondary structure includes four short double-helical elements and three loops (D, anti-codon, and T loops). Further hydrogen bonds mediate the characteristic L-shaped molecular structure. tRNAs have two regions of fundamental functional importance: the anti-codon, which is responsible for specific mRNA codon recognition, and the 3' end, to which the tRNAs corresponding amino acid is attached (by aminoacyl-tRNA synthetases). tRNAs cope with the degeneracy of the genetic code in two manners: having more than one tRNA (with a specific anti-codon) for a particular amino acid; and 'wobble' base-pairing, i.e. permitting non-standard base-pairing at the 3rd anti-codon position.
Source: RNAcentral